RNAcentral lists this ribosomal RNA (492 nucleotides) under uncultured bacterium. RNAcentral's name for it is "partial 16S ribosomal RNA". It matches the Rfam family "Bacterial small subunit ribosomal RNA", at positions 29 to 507 of the family's 1533-position model. The record is from RNAcentral.
AGUGAACGCUGGCGGUAGGCCUAACACAUGCAAGUCGAACGGCAGCACAGUAAGAGCUUGCUCUUACGGGUGGCGAGUGGCGGACGGGUGAGGAAUACAUCGGAAUCUACUUUUUUGUGGGGGAUAACGUAGGGAAACUUACGCUAAUACCGCAUACGACCUACGGGUGAAAGCAGGGGAUCUUCGGACCUUGCGCGAUUGAAUGAGCCGAUGUCGGAUUAGCUAGUUGGCGGGGUAAAGGCCCACCAAGGCGACGAUCCGUAGCUGGUCUGAGAGGAUGAUCAGCCACACUGGAACGGGAACACGGUCCAGACUCCUACGGGAGGCAGCAGUGGGGAAUAUUGGACAAUGGGCGCAAGCCUGAUCCAGCCAUACCGCGUGGGUGAAGAAGGCCUUCGGGUUGUAAAGCCCUUUUGUUGGGAAAGAAAAGCAGCAGGUUAAUACCCCGCUGUUCUGACGGUACCCAAAGAAUAAGCACCGGCUAACUUUGUG